This 471-nucleotide long non-coding RNA is filed under the name Citrus sinensis (sweet orange). RNAcentral's name for it is "long non-coding RNA (CSIN_LNC004591)". Lineage: Eukaryota; Viridiplantae; Streptophyta; Magnoliopsida; Sapindales; Rutaceae. The record is from RNAcentral.
AUAAUUAUUGAAUUUAUUAAUCCACAUGCGUAGCUCUGCUUAGCUUAUUAUUAUUAAAUUUAGAGCUGAAGAAAAACAAAACUUGCCGCUUUGAUAGACCAACCAAAUGAGGAAAGGUGGCAGUGUUCAAAGCACAUUCCCUAAGCAAAAACUUGCUUGCCAUUAAAGCUCAGAUAAAAAAAAGAUAACAUACAAAAAUGCAGACAUGUUAAUCAUUACACACAUCUGCAAAGUUGUACGGGAGCCAUACUUACACACAUCUGCAAAGCUAAAAGCACUGGAAAAAAAAUCAUUUCAAGGUAAGACUGUAAGAGGUUUGUGCAGGGAGAGGCGCGGUCAACACUGCAUCGGUGCCGGUGGGUGGUGGCUGCUGGUGGAGAGACGGAGAAAGGUGCCGCCGAUUCGGAGAUUUCAGGAUGUGUGCUGCAUUGUUCACUUGCAAUCGCGAUUUAGGGUUCGGUUUUGGGGGCA